AACUCAGGACAGACAGUGUGGUG
RNAcentral lists this small nuclear RNA (23 nucleotides) under Arabidopsis thaliana (thale cress). RNAcentral's name for it is "snRNA_01621". The record is from RNAcentral. Lineage: Eukaryota; Viridiplantae; Streptophyta; Magnoliopsida; Brassicales; Brassicaceae.